GAACUGCGAUAAGUAAUGUGAAUUGCAGAAUUCAGUGAAUCAUCGAGUCUUUGAACGCACAUUGCGCCCCCUGGCAUUCCGGGGGGCAUGCCUGUCCGAGCGUCAUUGCUGCCCUUCAAGCCCGGCUUGUGUGUUGGGUCGUCGUCCCCUCCGGGGGACGGGCCCGAAAGGCAGUGGCGGCACCGCGUCCGGUCCUCGAGCGUAUGGGGCUUUGUCACCCGCUCGAUAAGGACCGGCCGGGCGCCAGCCGGCGUCUCCAACCUUUUUUUCUCAGGUUGACCUCGGAUCAGGUAGGGAUACCCGCUGAACUUAAGC
RNAcentral lists this unclassified non-coding RNA (315 nucleotides) under plant metagenome. Its description in RNAcentral is "partial contains 5.8S ribosomal RNA, internal transcribed spacer 2, and large subunit ribosomal RNA". The stretch from base 1 to 105 matches the Rfam family "5.8S ribosomal RNA", at positions 50 to 154 of the family's 154-position model. The record is from RNAcentral.